AUUGAACGCUGGCGGCAGGCCUAACACAUGCAAGUCGAACGAGUGGCGGACGGGUGAGUAAUGUCUUGGAAACUGCCUGAUGGAGGGGGAUAACUACUGGAAACGUUAGCUAAUACCGCAUACCAUCAGAUGUGCCCAGAUGGGAUUAGCUAGUUGGUGGGGUAACGGCUCACAAAGGCGACGAUCCCUAGCUGGUCUGAGAGGAUGACCAGCCACACUGGAACUGAGACACGGUCCAGACUCCUACGGGAGGAAGCAGUGGGGAAUAUUGCACAAUGGGCGAAAGCCUGAUCGAGCAAUGCCGCGUGAAUGAAGAAGGCCUUCGGAUUGUAAAGUACUUUCGGCGGGGAGGCGUUACCCGCAGAAAAAGCACCGGCGAACUCCGUGCCAGCAGCCGCGGUAAUAC
Molecule: ribosomal RNA, 406 nt
Filed under: uncultured bacterium
Lineage: Bacteria
Description: partial 16S ribosomal RNA
Rfam family: Bacterial small subunit ribosomal RNA
Source: RNAcentral